UACGUAGGCUGCAAGCGUUGUUCGGAAUUACUGGGCGUAAAGAGUGUGUAGGCGGUGCUCUAAGUUUGUCGUGAAAUCUCCCGGCUUAACUGGGAGGGUGCGGCGAAAACUGGAGUGCUAGAGGGUGGGAGAGGAAAGCGGAAUUCCUGGUGUAGCGGUGAAAUGCGUAGAUAUCAGGAGGAACACCUGCGGUGUAGACAGCUUUCUGGACCACAUCUGACGCUGAGACACGAAAGCGUGGGUAGCAAACAGG
Molecule: ribosomal RNA, 253 nt
Filed under: uncultured bacterium
Lineage: Bacteria
Description: partial 16S ribosomal RNA
Rfam family: Bacterial small subunit ribosomal RNA
Source: RNAcentral